ACGGUUUCUGUUUCGGCAACGCGCGCGCGCGCCUUGCUGCCGCCGCUUCUCGACGAUUUCGUUAUAACAUUGGCAAAAUAGGUUAAGUGCGGAGAACAUCAGUCGUGCGGAGUUUGACGAGCCUGUGUGGCUUUAUCGAUUGUGCACUGAUGCAUGAAAGGCUAUUCGGGUCCAAGGACGUAUUGUCGGUUCGAUUUUGAAAACCCUGAGGUCGCGACCGACCUCACCGGCGCACGAACUAGUUCGAAAGUGGAGUCACAAGGUGUACUACUCAAAUACGGGCCUGAAACAGCCAUGCAGGUUCACAUCAUCUGCCUGCCUUGGGACCCUGGAAUUUAAUUGGUCGGGUUUGACUAAGAAGAAGCACCUGCUACACGACCAAUAGAGCCACAGUACACUGUUCAGGUUUCUCGAUACGUCGAGGCCCAUCCACCACACAGGCUGUCCUCCCGCCACUUGGCCACGUCCAUACUCAUGCUACCGCACAGCACCCCGCCACCUGUCGGGUCCCCGAUGUCCUGCGACGUCCAUUGUCCAUGACGGACGUGUGUGAGGGAACCCGUCGCCGAUUCCACACGUUCAACCGUCGAGCUACAACCGUGCAAUGGCGGCGGCAUCUGUCCAAGCACUCAUAGAGUUUUCGUCAGAGAUUACUAUAAGCAACUCUGGCACUAUAGUGUGUACGGGUGUUGUAAGUACGGUGGUUCAUAGCCAGCGUGGGAGCUAUGAGUAGUACACGAAUUUGUCUAAACUUUGCCCUUGUGGCUUCAAACGGCUUGGUUAACGUUUUUCAGCGCCAGCAGAUGAGGACAGAAAGAAGACGUUGAGAACUGAAGAUGUCCCCGUCCGCUCAUGCUAAACAUGUUAUCCAAGUUGGAGUGCCAACAUGCCCAACAUACUGCAGUCAAAUGGUGCUGCGACUUCGAAAAUUGGUCAUUUCCGCUGAAAUAAAGCGUUAUAAAUGCAGCAAUUCGCAGUGCUUAUGCACAUGCGCAGACGCAUAUUGCCUUGCUGCCUUUAGAUAAUUCUGAUUGCCUUGAAAUUUAGGAAGACAAGGAGAGAUAAGCAAAACCACAAGAACCUCUCAAGCCAUAAGUACGAACAUUAGACAAAUGCAUGCACUAGUCACCGCAUCUUUGUUACGGUACUCUGGUAACUGAAGGAUAGCAACGCUCGAGUUCCCCUUUGUGAUUUUUUGUAAGAAGCUUUACGUAAGCAUCCAUUUGCUUGCUCACUGCCCACACACCAGGCACGCCUUCAGCGUCCAUGUGACGGAAGAGCGUGCCUUUUAACCGAGCCUCCUCAAAGUCAGGUGGAAUUAUACUCAGUUCUCACAACGUUUGAAGUGGUGCGUUGUAUUUUCGAAGCUCCUUGUAAUAGUCUGUGUCGUACUUCAACUUUACGAGUUGUCAAUACGCCACACGUACCAUAUCUCAGUACGUGGGUGUAGGGAAGACGACAGAUGCGAAAAAAGAAAAGACGCCGCGCCUUAUAGUAAUGUUUGCCCAUAUAUCUCUUCUACUUUGUGUAUUCUUCCUUGCAGAAGGCGUAAAACCCACAAUUUUUCCCACACUUCCACCCUUCCGUCUGCACUGAAAACAAGCGCUAAGCAUUCGCAGCUACGGACAUUGCGUCUUGACGCAGGGCAUUGUCCUCUAGUUUACAAUUGUCCUGAGCUGUAUGUAACUGUGUUGCAAGUUACAGAAAAAGCAAAAUAAUAAUAAUAAUGAAGCGCAUCAUUUAUGUCCAUCCUUGUAUGUCUGGGUUGUAUAUUAACGCUCGAGAACGCUUUUGAUCUUUUCUUUAAGAAUUUUUGCGCCCCCCGAACUCAUUGGAUUGUUCACUAUAUGCUAUCGAAGAAAAGACAGUGGAGCCGAAAGUAGUGUAGAUCGCCGGCGGAACGAUCCAUGGCACAUCACCUCCUCAGCCCAGGCUACCUUGCCUCUUUCUUCAAGUUCAAACUUCUAAGAUGUCAUUGUCUUUGCAUUCACUUUGGCCUGAGAACGCGGUGACGUAUAUUUAACCAAUGCCGUGCGCCUUCCCUCCAACCCCCAGUUUUAAUUUUUUUCCAAGCACUUCCGGGGCUCCUGAUUAGAGGUAAUCAUCCCAAUGAACUCUGUCGUGUCCAGUUAUGCGCAUGUAUCGCCGCCUCGAUGUAUCUCAGGUGCUAUCUCUCGGAGCACUUCGCUUGGCUUUGUCGUGUUCCUCGCGCGACGUUCACGUGCACACAACUCCGAGAGAGACGUGAAUUCUCAGGAAUCUGCCAUAUCCAAGGGUGCGUGUCUCCGCUGUUCCGGCAACGAUGGAAGCAGUGGUCGACCGCCCCGAACCGUAGCGUUGAGCCGAUAGAAACAAAGAUUUAGGGUGUGGCUUUCUGUGGCUUGUGUAUAACCAGAGCGAGGCUUUCGUCCGCGAUUUUCCAUUUCGUGCGUGCGUGAGUGUGCGCGUGCGGUGUGAGUGAGCGACUAGAAGGUGAACCUGCGAAAAUUUUGGGAACACCCAGGCAGCUAAGUUGAAAAAUCCCGCGCUUUCUUCACGGCAGUUCCGCCAGCACCUGUGGUUGCAACUAUAUUGUACAAUAGCUUUAACCUUGGCGCCGCUGACGUCAAAGGGCCUAGACUCCUGCUGUGGAAGCGCGCUGCGAUUGAUCGACGAAAACAGCGUGGAAAGUAGCCAGCUGGCGCGCGGUCACGUUCCGCUAGAGUUGCUGUGUAUAGGAACUCUACGUUCGGCUAUCCGUUCCGCUACGUUCUGCUUUGUGUAGUGACAGGCUAUCGCGUGACGCUUUGCGUUUCCCGUUGUGCGGUGGCUCGCCCUUCCGUGACGCUUGGUGCCGGAAUGCAUGCUCUCGCAUCCCCUCGAGGAAGCUAUAGGUGCCAGCGCGGCCGAGGGUGAGAUAAGCGGUGACGGAGAGAUAGAGAUAUGAGAAAAAAAGAAGAUGCACUUUAGUGAUCGUGAAGGGAGUAUCCUGUUUGCUGUUCUGCACAAGGGGAAGAAAAAAAAUCCCGAUUGUGGAAGAGUAGAGAGGGAAGAACGCGAGGAAUAGCGCAGAUGGAUAUGUGAAUGCUUCAAAGGCUGGUGUCCUUCGUCUAUUGCUCCGUAUUUUCGAGAAUCCUUGCGAGAUCGCAUCCUAAAAUAGUUAUCCGUGUUUACUACUCAAAAGCAAAAUUUUGCGACCGGGUUGAAGAGAUUGAAACCACUGUAUCUGGUUUAGGCCUCUAUCACAGGUGCAGCAUGCUUCAAACUUUUGAAAUUAACCGACGCUUUCUUGAACGCCAAGAAUCUCAGAGAGGAAGCACCUCAUUGAGUGUGCUUGCUCACUUCAGCUUGCAAACGCAGGUGUUUGUGUCGCGGCUUACAUAUCGCGCACGGAGGUCCGUGGACCCUGUAUUGCAUGUUCGAUUCGCACCCGCAACUUUAGCGUCGCAGGAUCAGACGUGUCGUUGAUGUAAACGGAGUGUUGACCUCUUUGUUCGCGCGUAUCAUCUUAUCGUGGGCCGUAGUGCACGGCCGCAAACAUAUCUGUCUGUACACCCCCCCCCCCCUCCUUUGGAUAAUUGCUGCCCUGUGCGAAAGCAUAGGCGGUGGCGAUGAGUCGCUUCAUUUCACAGGUCUAUUACAAGCAUACGCCCUGCUUUCGAACGAUACACAUGUCACGUAUUCACCUUGGGCGCCUUUGCAUACAAUCACAGCGAUGUCACGGGCUCUACCAAGCCUUCACACAGCUGCCGUGCCUAGUCAAAGUUUCACGAGCUAGCGAGAAUCACGCAAAGCCUGCAAUCGUCAUGCCGUGGUUACGCUGCGAAUAGUCCCUUCUCAACAAUGAAUGUUUUUGCAACAUUCGACGUUGUAUACACAACUGUAUCCUGCAACCAAGUACUACACUUUUUAAAACAUUUUCUCGUCGCUAGGGUUUCUGAAGCUACAUCAUGUGUGCGUGGUGGCAUAAACAAAGGUCACAGCGUAUAAAGAAGAGAACUUACACCAGAUCUAAAUAAGUGAGCUCUGGCACCUUUUAUGCAGUUUCUUGUGAACUGGCUCAAGUAGCUUGCUCAUGGUAUAUAUACUUUCCACGUGGAAUUUGGAAACCUAAUAAGAUCCUUCUUGAAAUCUUCCGUGCAUGCAAUUUCCGGCCCUUCAUUUAUUGAUAUAGACGAUGUGCUCAAUAUAGUUGAUGCACGUGAUGUUCCUCUCAAAGGAAC
RNAcentral lists this long non-coding RNA (4202 nucleotides) under Dermacentor andersoni. Its description in RNAcentral is "uncharacterized LOC126527082". Lineage: Eukaryota; Metazoa; Arthropoda; Arachnida; Ixodida; Ixodidae. The record is from RNAcentral.